UGCUGAGGGAGCAGUUUGAGGAGGAGCAGGAGGCUAAGGCUGAGCUGCAGCGUGGAAUGUCCAAGGCCAACAGUGAGGUGGCUCAGUGGAGAUCUAAGUAUGAAACUGAUGCUAUCCAGCGUACUGAGGAGCUUGAGGAAGCCAAGUGAGUGCAUUUUAAACAAUUAAAUGGCCAGAAGUGAAGCAUAUAACAUAUACAUUAUUUGAGGAAGGUCCAGCAUGAGUUGGAGGAGGCUGAGGAGCGUGCUGACAUUGCAGAGUCCCAGGUCAACAAAAUGAGAGCAAAGAGCCACGACUCUGGCAAGGGAAAAGAAGCUGCUGAGUAAAGCACACUGACUGUUUCACUGUGUCAAAUCAUAUUAUAUGAUAUAAUUCAUGAUGAAACAAUAAAG
Long non-coding RNA from Larimichthys crocea (large yellow croaker), 392 nucleotides. RefSeq lists it as uncharacterized. Lineage: Eukaryota; Metazoa; Chordata; Actinopteri; Sciaenidae. The transcript is spliced from 3 exons. The record is from RefSeq and is a predicted model, not a curated record.